RNAcentral lists this ribosomal RNA (253 nucleotides) under uncultured bacterium. Its description in RNAcentral is "partial 16S ribosomal RNA". It matches the Rfam family "Bacterial small subunit ribosomal RNA", at positions 524 to 776 of the family's 1533-position model. The record is from RNAcentral.
UACAGAGGGUGCGAGCGUUAAUCGGAAUUACUGGGCGUAAAGCGCGCGUAGGCGGCUUUGCAAGUCGGGUGUGAAAUCCCCAGGCUUAACCUGGGAACUGCAUUCGAGACUGCAUUGCUAGAGUAUGGGAGAGGGAAGUGGAAUUUCCGGUGUAGCGGUGAAAUGCGUAGAUAUCGGAAGGAACAUCAGUGGCGAAAGCGACUUCCUGGACCAAUACUGACGCUGAGGAGCGAAAGCGUGGGGAGCGAACAGG